AGGGUUUGAUUAUGGCUCAGAUUGAACGCUGGCGGCAUGCCUAACACAUGCAAGUCGAACGGUAACAGGCGGAGCUUGCUCUGCGCUGACGAGUGGCGGACGGGUGAGUAAUGCUUAGGAAUCUGCCCAGUAGCGGGGGACAACAGUCGGAAACGGUUGCCAAUACCGCAUACGCCCUACGGGGGAAAGCAGGGGAUCUUCGGACCUUGCACUAUUGGAUGAGCCUAAGUCAGAUUAGCUUGUUGGUGGGGUAAAAGCCUACCAAGGCGACGAACUGUAGCUGGUCUGAGAGGACGAUCAGCCACACUGGAACUGAGACACGGUCCAGACUCCUACGGGAGGCAGCAGUGGGGAAUAUUGCACAAUGGGCGCAAGCCUGAUGCAGCA
RNAcentral lists this ribosomal RNA (387 nucleotides) under uncultured bacterium. Its description in RNAcentral is "bacterial SSU rRNA". It matches the Rfam family "Bacterial small subunit ribosomal RNA", at positions 8 to 393 of the family's 1533-position model. The record is from RNAcentral.